This 492-nucleotide ribosomal RNA is filed under the name uncultured bacterium. RNAcentral describes it as "partial 16S ribosomal RNA". It matches the Rfam family "Bacterial small subunit ribosomal RNA", at positions 29 to 507 of the family's 1533-position model. The record is from RNAcentral.
AGUGAACGCUGGCGGUAUGCCUAACACAUGCAAGUCGAACGGCCGCACAGUAAGCGCUUUCUCUUACGGUUGGCGAGUGGCGGGCGGGUGAGGAAUGCAUCGGAAUCUACUUUUUCUUGGGUGAUUUCGUGGGGCAGCUUACGCUACUACCUCAUACUACCUACCGGUUGAAUCAGGAGUUCUUCAGACUUUUCGCGAUUCAUUUAGCUGAUGUCGCAUUAGCUAGUUGGCUGGGUAAGGGCCCACCAAGGCAACGAUACGUAGCUGACCUGAGAGGAUGAUCAGCCACACUGGAACUGAGACACGGUCCAGACUCCUACGGGAGGCAGCAGUGGGGAAUAUUGGACAAUGGGCGCAAGCCUGAUCCAGCAAUACCGCGUGGGUGAAGAAGGCCUUCGGGUUGUAAAGCUCUGUUGUUAGGAAAGAAAAGAAGCAGAUGAAUCCCUCGACGUUCUGACGGUACCCAAACAGAAAGCCCCGGCUAACUUCGUG